CGGGAGGCAGCAGUGGGGAAUUUUGGACAAUGGGGGCAACCCUGAUCCAGCCAUGCCGCGUGAGUGAAGAAGGCCUUCGGGUUGUAAAGCUCUUUCAGACGGAAAGAAAUCGCCUUUUNUAAUACGAGAGGUGGAUGACGGUACUGUCAGAAGAAGCACCGGCUAACUACGUGCCAGCAGCCGCGGUAAUACGUAGGGUGCGAGCGUUAAUCGGAAUUACUGGGCGUAAAGCGUGCGCAGGCGGUUGUGUAAGACAGGUGUGAAAUCCCCGGGCUUAACCUGGGAACUGCGCUUGUGACUGCACGGCUAGAGUACGGCAGAGGGGGGUGGAAUUCCACGUGUAGCAGUGAAAUGCGUAGAUAUGUGGAGGAACACCGAUGGCGAAGGCAGCCCCCUGGGCCGAUACUGACGCUCAUGCACGAAAGCGUGGGGAGCAAACAGGAUUAGAUACCCUGGUAGUCCACGCCCUAAACGAUGUCAACUAAU
RNAcentral lists this ribosomal RNA (486 nucleotides) under uncultured Azoarcus sp. RNAcentral describes it as "bacterial SSU rRNA". It matches the Rfam family "Bacterial small subunit ribosomal RNA", at positions 342 to 820 of the family's 1533-position model. Lineage: Bacteria; Pseudomonadati; Pseudomonadota; Betaproteobacteria; Rhodocyclales; Zoogloeaceae. The record is from RNAcentral.